UUGGGGGGUUAGGGAGGGAGCCACUUCAAUUUUUUUGCAAAUUCUCCUCUCUCCCUGCAGUUAUACUCAGACCUGCUUGUGUGCCUGUGGGCAACGGCUGUCCAAAAGUGUGCAAUCCAGCGCUGCUGCUGAAGAACUGUGACCAGCUCCUCUCCUACUAUCAAAGAUGGAGGAGGAUUGAAACUGUUCCUUGUCUCCACCAAAAGCUGAGAUCAGUUUUCAGGCAUAUAGAUGAAGACCCCCUUUAUUCACAUGAGAGGUGUUUUUUAGAGCGUUCUUGGAAAAUGAAAUGGUUUUAUAAGAUGAUACCAGCUGAGCAGUGGCACAAAGAUCAAGUAAUGACAGAGCAUUUCUUCAUCUGACGAUCCAGUGGAGAAGAGACCACAAACAGAAAGCUGUGGCAGCCUGACAGUUUGAAUUGUGCAAGUAUCAGAGUUUAAGUCUUCAUUGUCUUCAGCUUUUGAGAAUAUAAUUAGAUCUGCCUCCUGUAAUGAUAUCUAAUAAAAUCAAGAUUCUUUCAUACUGAUUAUGUAGA
This 535-nucleotide long non-coding RNA is filed under the name Struthio camelus australis. Its description in RNAcentral is "lncRNA (ENSSCUG00000012567.1)". Lineage: Eukaryota; Metazoa; Chordata; Aves; Struthioniformes; Struthionidae. The record is from RNAcentral.